AGAAGGAAGAAUGGAAAUUGUAAUAACAAAAUCCUAAUUCUAAUAGAAUACUAACAAUGCUCUAAUUAGACUAUAAUAAUGCUAAGCAAGCUUAAUCAAAUUCAAAAAAAACCUCAAAGAAAUUUCAAACAAACAAUAAGAAUUCUUAAAGAAAUAUUAGAAGGAUCACAAAUAUUACUCAAAUAUAUCUCAAUUCAAUCUUAAUUUAAUUCUAGUUAAAAUCCUAUUGAACUUCAUUCAAACUUUAGGUCAAAACUAAUUGAAUCUUAAAUCCUAAUAAAAUCCUAAACCUUGAAUCAAAUCCUAAACAAAUCUUAAACCAAAUCCCAACCAAAUCCUAAACCAAAUCCUAACCAAAUUCUAAACCAAACCCUAAACCCUAAAUCAAAUCCUAAUCCAUAUUCUAAAUCCUAAAUCAAACCCUAACCAAACUCUAAACCCUAAAUCUUAAACCAAAUCCUAAUUAAAUCCUAAAAAAAAUCCUAAAAAAAUCCUAAAUCUUAAAUAAAACCCUAAUUCAAAUCCUAAAUCCUAAACCAAACCUUAACCAAAUCCUAAACCAAAUCCUAAACCAAACCCUAAACCAAAUCCUAGUAAUUCCUACAACAAAUUUAAACCUCAAUAACUAAUGAAUAAACCGUUGAUCUUAAUUCAAAUUUUACAUACUUCUAAAAAAAUAAGUUAAAAACAAGCACAAAAAAAUUGAAAAGGAUCAGAGUUAUCAAAUUGACGAUAACCUCAAAAAUGAGCUCAAGUAUUGGCCAGCCUCCAUCUCUAAUCUUGAUGCCAAUCUUCCAGAGUUAAUAUCUCUCCUUUGUACCAUUCGAUUGAUCUCAAAAUUCUCACACACAUAGAAAAAUAAGUCUAAUAUCCUAUUGAAGAAACACAAUAAGUAAGACACAAGUAAGUAGAAAUCAGCAAGGUUAGACACAAGAGAAGUGUGGAAUAAGAUGCCUCUCACUUCCAGCACCCUUUACUUAUAGGUAGAGGUUACAUCCAUUUUGGCUAGUAUUCAUCUUACUUUCAUCCAACUAAACCCUAGAAUCUUCUUAACUUAGCUGUCACUUUAAAUCCUAGCUGCCACCUAUGAUCCUAGCUGCCAUCUAUAACCCUAGCUGCCACUUAUGAUCCUAACCACCACCUUGGUAACUUUUCUUCAUCUUUUUGAUGUCCUUUGACCAUUAGCAACUUAUCUAAGAUAAUAUCUUUUACCUUCUAUCUUAUCUUCCAUUUACUUUAAUACUCCUACUUUGCUAUUUGUCAAAGGCUAAUAAACGUAAUUCCUUUGUCAAUUUGUGAUGUCUAACCUUCACGAGUACUUUUGUGAAUAAAUCAGCAAGCAUGUCUUCUGUUGCACAAUAUUUUAUGUCAAUUACUCCCAUCUCAAUCUUCUCCCGUAUGAAGUGAUGUUGAAUGUCAAUGUAUUUUGUCCUUGAAUGAUGCUUUGGAUUCUUUGCAAAAACAAGGCAUCCUUGAUUGACACAUUUCAUUGGAGUUGCUUCCAAUUGCACAAGUCUAAUGUCUUCUAAAACUUAUCUUAGCCAAAUUACCUCCAUUGCACCAUGACUUGUUGCCAAGUAUUCCACCUGCAUUGUAGACCUUAUAAUUGUUGGUUUUCUCUUAUAAUUCCAUGAAAUUUCUCCCACUCCUACAAAGAAUACAUAUCAUGUUGUUGAUCUUCUAUCAUUUGCAUCUCCAGUCCAAUCCGCAUCAUAAUAUCUAUGCAAUGUAAUACUAUCACCUCCAAGACACAAUUUGAAGUUCAAAGUACCUUUUAAGUACCUUAAGAUCCUCUUAAUGGUUGCCCAAUGAAUUGGUCCAGCCUUUGAUAUGUGUUGACUCACAACGCUCACCGCAUAUGCAAGAUCCACCCUUAUACCAACCAUUGCAUACAUAAGUGAACCUACUGCUGCCUUGUAAAGAACAUCUUUCAUUUCUUCUUCAACUUCAGCAAAUUCCUCAUCCGUGAGCUUCAUCAACUUCAAAUUUGCCUCCAAAGGUGUUCCAAUAGACUUGCACUCCUCCAUGUUGAACCAUUUCAACACUUCUUCAAUGUACUUCUUUUGACUCAAUGUAAUGAUCUUUUUAGCUCGAUCUCUCAUAAAUUCCACUCCUAAGCAAUAGUGGAGCUCUCUCAAAUCACUCAUUUCAAAUUCUUUUGCUAACUUUGCCUUCAACCAAUCCAUCUUUUCCAAAGUAUUGGUCAAAAUGAUCAAAUCAUCAAUAUAAAGAAUAACAAUCAGCAAAAAGGCUUUUGAUUGCAUCACAUACAUGGAAUGAUCAGCCUCACUCCUCACAAAUCCUUCAUUUACAAAGAAGGUGUCGAUACGUUGGUACCAUGUUCUUGAUGAUUGCUUAAGCCCAUACAAGGAUUUCUUCAACUUACACACAAGGUGUUGUUUGCCUUCUUUAACAAAUCCUUGAGGUUGAUCCAUGUAGAUGUCUUCUUCCAAUUCUCCAUUCAAGAAAGCCGUCUUCACAUUCAUUUGGUGCAUCUCCAAGUCCAUUGCUGCCCCAAUUGCCACAAUGGUUCUAAUGGUGGUGAAGUUGGCCACGGGAGCAAAUAUCUCAUUGAAAUCAACACCAGCAACUUGUGAGUAGCUUUUCGAAACCAAUCUUGCCUUAUACCUCACAAUAUUAUCCAUUACAUCCCUUUUGGUUCUAAACACCCACUUACAACCAAUUGAAAAUCGAUUUGGUGGAAGUUGAGUCAAUUCCCAUUUUCCAUUAUCCAUGAGUGAUUUGUAUUCUUCUUUCAUAGUAUUUUUCCACUUCAUAGCAUCUGUGGACUUCAUUGCAUGACAUAAACUCAAUGGAUCAGCAAGAAAUAUAACAUUGGCAUAUUUUUUACUUACUUGAGGAAAAAUAUGGUCCUUCUACUAUUCACCACGUUGUUUUCUAUCUCUCAAAGGAUAUCUCUUUUCAUUUGAAGAAGACUCAACUUCUUACACUCCAUGGUCACCUCCAACCUUCUUUUUUUUUGAAGAUAGUCUUUUCUCACUCAAAAGUUCAUAAUCCUCAUCAUCAUCAUCAGCAACAUCUUCAUGCUCUUUAUUGCUAGUCUUAGCAAUUGUAGAGGCCUUCUUAUCCACCUUCUUUGUCUCUUCAUCUUCAUUUCCAUCUUUACAACCAUCAUUGUCUUUGUCUUCUUCUUUCUUUGCUGAAUUUGAAGAUGUAUCCACAAACACACCAUUACUCCCACUUGGAGACAUCUCCAAGUACUCACAAGCACUCUUGUGCUCCAAAAACUCAACAUCAUGACUUUUGAUGAUCUUUUUAGUCUCCAAACACAUGAACCUAUAAGCCUUUGUACCUUCACAAUAUCCAACAAACACACAUUUUGUACCUUUUGUAUCAAAUUUUAAUCUCAUACAAUCUGAUAUUUUUACAUAUGCUAUGCAUCCAAAGGUCCUCAUGUGAAAAAUACAAGGUUUUCUCCCACUCCAAGCUUCUUCCGGCAUCAUUGAUGUAAGUGCACUUAUAGGACACCUAUUUCUUGUGUAUAUUGCAUUCACCACUGCUUCCGCCUAAAACUCAUGUCUAAAAUAUUGUACAUGAAGCAUAUUCCUUGCCAUCUCCAUAAUGGUCCAAUUUGCUCUUUCAGCAACUCCAUUUUAUUGUAGAGUGUAAAGAGUGGAGGUUUGUCUUGCAAUACCAUACAACUUUAAGAAAUCAUUCAAUUGCUUUGACAUAUACUCACCUCCAUUGUCUGUAUACAAUACCUUGAUUUUGCAUUCACAUUGCUUCUCUACAAGUGCCUUAAACUCUUUGAACCUUGUGAAAUACUCAGUCUUUAUUUUGAGGAUAAAAAUCCAUACUUUCCUUGAAAAGUCAUCAAUGAAUGUGAUAAAAUACCUUGCAACUCCUAUUGAUGGCAUCUUCAUAGGUCCACAAACAUCAAAAUGGACAAUCUCCAAUAACUUGGUUGCACUUGUUGCAACUCUACUUGGAAAUGAGGCCCUUUGUUGUUUGCCUUGAAUACAACCUUCACAAGUGUGAUUGCUCAUUUUACUUAUUCCGGAAGAAACCUCCCAGCAUAAACCUGUAUAGGAGGAUUCGAAUACAGGGAAUGACCAUGUAUAUGAGCUCUAAUUAUUAGAGUCACGCAAUUAACCGCUACUGCUGAAUGCUUACCAUAUCGAAGAACACUUAACUUUUCCUCCUACUGUCCACUCUCUCAUAUUAAUACAAUAACAUCCACGACAAUAAUUUCAGUAUCCUGUGUAAUUCACGAACACACAAGCAUAUCUCGAACCUUGGAACGAACAACUUCCAAUCCACAGAAUCUAAUCAAGAUAAUUCCUUCGAUUACAAUUCCUCUCCACUAAACUUACAACCUUGCGAUAAAUAGUGAUUGGAAACUUCCAUACAUCCUCAAUCUUUCACAACAAUUGAUAAACAGUGAUCCAUAAACAACUUUGUAAAUCAAACAUUAAUUCAUUAAAUCAAUUCUCUUCAUUAGAAUCAAUACUAAUACAAAAGAAACAAGAAAACUAAGAAGAAGAGAUAGCACCAAGCUUAUCCCCGGCUGAGUACUAUCAUAGUCUGGCAUUUUCUUCCCCUCUUCCAUCCUCCUUAUACUACCCCGAGAUACCAACUCCUAUACUACAGAUGAUAACUACUUUUCCUGACUAUUCAUCCAUUCUACCUGCUGAACCACCUUUUCAGCAGUUAUCUAUCCCUGUUUACACCAUACAUUAGAUAUCUACAUUCUGAAAAUAAUUACUUAUUCUACAUAGCCCCACUUCUAACUGUACAACGUCCUCGCAAACACUCAAUUGAUACCUAUCUAAAAAUUAUCUAACAAAACUCUACAAAAAUUGCGAUCUCUCUGGCCUAUCUAAUUAGUCAAUUGCCACAGUAUCUAUUAUUGGUUCCACUGAUUUUGAUUCCAACUACAAAUCUUCGUCCUCCUCCAAUCCUUUCAUCGGCUCUUGCCUCAACUGAGCUGAAAGAAUUCAUUAUACUUGCCCAGUUCACGAACUUGAGCUUCCAAUUUCAGGAUCUGGGCAUCUCUCAAUUCCAACUGGCGUUGAAAGUGACUCCUCUCUUCUGGAACUUCGGGAACUGGCAAUGUCAAUACUUGUGCUUGACCAAUAUUGACUAAAUCCUCUGCCAAUCUUGUCACCUCGGCAUUCAAGGCCUCAAUUUCAGCCCUUAACUGCUCCGUUUCACAUCUGUAUUGGUCACUCAAUACCAAUUUUUCUUGCGCCAAUAACUCGGUCUUUUUUCGUUCCAUUACCAGCUGACCCUUUACUUUUUUCAGUUCCAAAAUUGAAUGACUGCGAGCGCGGAAUAGUUCUUGCAUGUGGGUCUACACCAUGCGCUCUCUUUCUUUGUCCCAAGCUUCUUGUUGUUCUCCAAUUUGUCACUCCAAUAGCAGCUUGGAUUCCGCAUUCGCCUGGAUGAUCCAUUCUUGCUCUUCAAUUCUUCGUGUCUGCUCCGAUAUCACCUUUUUGCUUGCCUCUAAUUCUAGUUUACUACUGCCCUCUACAUCCAAUGCUCGUACCAUACAAUAUAUUUACAAAAUGCACUUCAAUAAAGAAUUUUUAAGAUGUACACCUUCCGACAGUCGGCCUUGUAGAAACGCUAACUGAUUGAUAUCUAACAACAUCGAGACUUCAUUCUACUCCUCCACCACCGAAUGAAUCGAAUCCGUUUCCGGUGCCACUAGAUGAUUGGAUUCCCCAAUUUCAUGUAUUACCUCCGUUGUAUUGUCAUUCUGUGCCAACGAAUUCCGUUUUCAUUGCGGAGGCACUAGCAUUGGUUCGGAACUUCCUUCUACUGGUGAUGUUUGCCGCAAUGUAUACGCGAUCACAUCAUACACAUAAUUGGAACAUAGCAACGCUGUAAACUUUCCUAUUUUACACUUGGCUCCCAUUUUCGCAUGAAUACGGGUUGCUACAUAAGCUACCCAAUUGAACACCAUCCCUUCAAAUGUCCCUACCACUGCAAACAUUAACCGUUUUGAUAUAUAUGUGUUGUGUCGAUACAACCCUAGACGCCUCAACACAAAGCGCAACCAUUCCAUGAGCUUUUGUGUAAUUGCCUCAGCCGUCUGCCAAUCUUGGUUCUUCUCAAAUGAUGACAUGCCACUUUUGAAAUAACUUCCCGGUCAAAAGUCACUGGACUUUUCAGCACCCACCGCAAUCUCUCCUACUGGAAGAAACAGUACUUUUUCGAGGAUCUUCUCAUCAAUAUCGAUAAUGCGUCCUUGUAUUACACUCAAUCUAUCCCGUGGAUCAUAGUUUGCGAUGUAUUCUUCCACUAAUGCCAAAUUAAUUGAAGGCAAACUAUCUGACCUUUGCAAAAACUGAAACAUUUACGCGUUUCAAAAAUCUCAUAUUUUCCUUAGCGUCCAACAAAUCUCCAGCUUCAUAGGCUCUAUAUUGGUAACGAUUACUAUGGAUGGUGGCCCUAAAUUACGUUUAGCUUUCACAUUUCGACCACUUUCCUCUCUGUCCGUAGCUCUCUUUGCACUCUCCAUCGCCAUGAUGCACAUUCUUUCAAGCUCUAACCGUCAAUACUACGUUCUAGUACUCCGAAACAUCCAAAAUUGUAACAUCGAAAAGAAACAAUAACAGAAUGCGACAACUGAGAAUGACCGUAAAUGGAUGCCCCACUCCUAUUUUUUUACCUAGUGGUGAUAACAACAACAUGUUACUCCUACUGUCCGUUUCUCACCCCCAUCCCAUCAGACACAUUAGUAAUUACUAACUAUCUUUUCAGCCACCUCUACACCCUAACUCACUUAAUUAUAUCUAUCCUAAGUACAUUCGACGUGACCUCCUCUAGAAAUUGAAAACCCGUCCCGAGUUUUAUGUAUGAUAUAAUCAUAAUCGGUUCCCGUUAAUGCGGGUACUGAAUCGAUGACUCAUGAAAUCUUCCAAUUGAACAGACCUAUUAGAAAACCCUUCAAUCAAACGAUAUGGCCCAUGCCAACGAACUUGAAAUUUGCCCGAAAAAUGAUUAAACCUGCUAUCAAAGAACAAUACCAAAUCAUUGGGCAUAAAACUCUUCGGAUGCAGUUUACUAUCAUAAUAACUCUUUCGCCGUUUUUGAGUUGCUUCCAUGUUGAAGAGAGUUGUAGCCCGUAUUUCAUCCAAUUUGUCCAACUCUGCCAACUGAUAUUGAAGUGAUUCCUUAUCUCGAAGACGUUCAUCCAAUGCAAUGUGCAAACUAUGAAUUUCCAAUUCAAUGGGUAAUAUUGUUUCUUGCCCGUACACCAAUUGGAAUGGUGUGGAAUUGGUAGUCACUUUAUAUGGAGUACGAUACGUCCACAAUGCCACAAAUAAUUUAGUAUCCCAAUCCAUUUCUGCACCCAAAAUUAUUUUGGUUAAAAUCUUACAUAGAAUACCAUUGGUCUUUUCCGUCUGUCCAUUGGCCCAAGGAUGAUAUGGUGUUGUUUUCCUGUACUUGAUUUCGUAUGUGUUCGUCAAGGCUACUAUGGUAGCAUUUAUGAAAUGGGUGCCGCGAUCGCUAACCAAUUUCUUUGGACAUCUAAAUUGAGUAAUAAUAUUCUUGUAUAGAAAUGUGGCCACCGUACUGACAUUAUCAUUGCGGGUAGCAAUAGCCUCCGCCCAUUUGGUUACAUAGUCUGUGGCAACUAAAAUAUACUACUUUUAUCCAUGUCUCGAUGCUGGUGCAAUGGGUCCAAUAAAAUCAAUUCCCCAUUUCUCAAAUGGUGCCUGUGCCAAGAUUGGUACUAACGGCAUCGCUGAAGUACACGUGGAUCGACCAAUUCGUUGACAGGGAUCACAACGACGAACAAAUUGGUGCGCAUCAAAAAACAUUGUGGGCCAUCAAUAUCCAGCCAUUAAAGCCUUGCGAGCAGUACUAUCUCCCGCAAAAUAUCCACCACAACUAUCCAAAUGACAUCCUUCCAAUAUUGUACGAACUUCACUUUGAAAGUUGCAACGGCGUAAAAUUCCAUCCCGUCCUUGUUUGUACAAGGCAUCUCCAAUCAUGGUAUAUGGCGCACUUUUUAAAAUCAGACGCUUCUUUAGUUUUUUAUUAUAAGAAAUAGAAAAAAUCUAAAACGUUAGAUAUUGGAUCAAUUCACCAUAUUUGGGUGUAAUGACAUCCACAACGAAUAGUUGUGCAUCCGAAAGAGCAUCAUUUAUCGGCUCAUUAUUCAGUAUAUUAGAUAAACUGGAUAAGUGAUCCGCAUUGGCAUGUUUCUUGUCGAGUCGAACGUUAAUUGUAAAGUUGAAUUCUUGUAGAAGUAACAUCCAUCGAGCAAUUCGUUUAUUCAAUUGAGGUUUAUUUAUCAUGUACUUAAGCACAUCAUGAUCAACGUAGAACACAAAUGAGUAUCCAAGUAGAUAGUGGCAAAAUUUUUGAAUAGAGUAGAUCAUUCCGAGGGCCUCUCGCUCGGUAGUAUUAUAAUUUCAUUCUGUAGCAACGAAUUGUCGACUCGCAUAAUAUAUGGGAUGAUCUAAACAUUUUUCAUCCUUUUGACUGAGAACGGAUUCAAUAGCAAUAUUGGACACGUCCAUGUAGACAUGAAACGGUUUUGUCCAACAAGAUGUUACAAGAAUUGGGACAGAUACCAAUUUCCGUUUCAAUUCGUCGAAUGCAAAAGUACAGUCUUCAGUCCAUAUUGGGCUAGACUCAUCUGAUGGAGGUUUCUUUAACAAGUGGGUUAACGGUUGACAGAUAACCGCAAAGAAUUCAAUAAAAUGUCGAUAGUAGCUGACAUGGCCGAUGAAACUACGCACGAUCAACACCGUAUCUGGCUUUGAUAAUCCCAAUAUAUGAGUAACUUUAUCGGGGUCCAUAGCGAUACCUUCAACAAAGACAAUGUGUCCCAAUAGCUUUCCCGAUGGUACGCCAAAUUGAUACUUCUUCAAAUUUAGAGAUAUCCCAUACUUGUCGCAUUGAUUCAAACAGUUAUCCAAGCAUGCUAGAUGUUCAGCCGUUGUACUAAAGGUGCAAAAAUCGUCCAGAAAUAUCUCUAUUGAUAAACGUAGGUAAUCUUUAAACACUUGUGUCAUUACCCGUUGAAAAGUAGCCGGGGCAUUACAUAACCCAAAUGGCAUUACUUUAUAGGCGAAUGUGCCCCAAUCUGUGGUAAACGUAGUCUUCAACUAGUCUUCUUCAGCAAUUUUAAUUUGAUUAUAUCCCAAAAAUCCGUCCAAAAAUGAGUAACAUUCAUGUCCGGCCAUUGCGUCCAAAAUACUAUUUGUAAAUGGUAACGAAAAAUAGUCCUUCUUAAUAGCCGCAUUUAACUUUCAAAAAUCUUGACAUAUCCUGAUUUUUCCAUUCUUCUUCGAUACCAUCACGAUUGGUGACACCCAUGUACUAUGCGGAAAAAGAUAAAUAAAAUCCAUAUCGAGAAGUUUAUCCAAUUCCUCUUUCACUAAAAGAGAAUAUUUUGGAUUAAGGCGAUAUUGUCUUUGACAAACUGGCAUAACACCCUCCUCUAGAAUAAUCUGGUGCUCACACACGUCGACUGGAAUCCCUUUCAAAUCCACAUACGACCACGCAAAGGUAGAUUUGUGAUAGACAAAAAAUUAUUUUCAAGCAUCCAAUUCUGUAUCGAUAAUAUUGACAUAUACUUUAAUUAGCUGUGGUAUUUCAUUGGUGCCCAGGUUAAUAGAUUGACACAUAGGGUCUUCAACAACCUCUGAUUUAAUUGUCUUCUCCUGAUCUGAAUUUCUUGUAUUAUCUGACAUAUGGGAACCACCCAAAUCUGGUGCCAAUGUGCUGACUCUAUUCACUACGAAAUUGUUCAUCCAGUCGACAAGAGUAUAAUCUGAGUUAGUCACAUCCUCCUGAUGUAGUAAAUAUUUGUCGGGACUUCCACAUUGGUAGCCUUUGCCUUUGCUGUUGAAGUGUUUUGUCCUACCCCAAAUUAUGGUGAACCUAUAGCAUCGUCAUUUGCCUCAAUCAAUUGACUCUCAUUGUCCAAUGUAAAUUUUGAUUCUGACAAUUGAGAUUCUUCAAGAUAUUGUACUAGAUACAUCUCUAGAACAAUCUGAUCCCUACAUUUUCAAAUUGUCAAUGUGCCUCGGCUCCAAUGGUUCUUAGCUUUGGUUUGAUAAAGCCAAGGUCUGCCCAAUAAAAUGGGAUACGAUAACAUAGAACUCUGUAAUCGGAAUACAAUAUAAUCGAUUUUGUAUGUCAAUCCCGCGAUUACAAUGGCAAUAUUGCAUAAGAUUUCUAUUGGCUUUAUCCGACUAUGAUCUGUUAUUCGCAAGACCAAUGUCGUAGGUAGUAAUUGCUUUAGAUCCAAGUCCUCCAUUGUAUCUGCAUUCAUUAAAUUCACACUGGAGCUACCAUCGACUUGUAUCCCUGGAAUUAAAAUGCCAUCGAUUGAUACAUCAAUUGUUGGUGCUCCCGGAUCUGGGUUUAAGCUAACUUCAUGAAUUUCUUUAGUGCGAGAUCUUCGUCGUAUUAACGCUGAAUUCAAUGUAGAUCGACAUUCCGGUGCUACAGCCAAAAGUUGCUUCAUUGUAAUUGAAGGCUGAAUAACAUCCAAAUUCCUCAGAAUGUCGUAGGGUUCCAUAUUGAGAAUAAUUUCCAAUGCUCUUUUGUGUUUCAUUGGUUUUGAUUUUACUCCGUUCGACAGCAAUUCUUUCCUGACGAUUGAGAUUACCGUUGGUAACUUUGUCAACUUGUCUACCACUAAAGAUUCCUUUAAUGUGUAAGAUCUUUUAUUGGGUUGUACAGGUAUUGGUACUUGGUCAGUUGGGAUCGAUCUUGAUGGUCCUGGCAAAUUGGCACGUGGGACCGAAUUGGGUUCCUCAAUCUGUUGAGUUCUCAAUAUUGAGAUACGUCCCAAUAUUGAUAUUGGUUCGUUUAGCCCCAUGGACGGCACUAUUUGCUCUCCUGCGAUUGGUUCAUCCAUGUCUUGAAUUAGAUUCUUGUCUUUUUGUUGGCCUCUGGUAAGCACUGCAUUCACCACCUCGAUACGAUGUACUGGUGAGUCUCAUUGAACAGGGCCUUUGUCCUUCGUCGGUUGGCUUGUUUGUAUUUGUUGGUCUCGAAUAUUAUAAUUAAAGGGUGCAUUGCAUUGCUGAUAAGUGUGACCAGACUGCUUACAAUUUCCACAUAUUGGAGCAUAGUCAUCAUUGAUCCUUGGAUUAGGACAUUCAUUGGCAUAAUGACCAAUUUGUCUGCAAUGAUAGCAAUGUAGUGGUCUCCUGCCAACUCCUUCACGGAUAUUGGGUGUCUCUAUGGGUAUAUAACGGCUAGGUCUGUUCCAUGUCGGAUGAGUAAAGGAUCCUGGUUGACCCAUUGUUACUGUAGAGUCUGGCAUUGGCUUCGUCAUGAGUGGAUAUUGAUGGUAUCCUGGUUGGUUCAUCGCCAAUCCGUGAAUAUUGGAUACACCUUCUUGGUGAAAUUCAGUGUUGAAGAAAUUAGAAUAAUUUUUGUUUUGUUUAUUCGCUCGAUUUCCAUUCCAGCCAAACUUAUUAUUCGUCUGCACUUGAUUGACAUCCCACAAAGUUGGUUGAGUCAUUAUCUGAUUACUGAGUUGUUGUUGCUUCUGUAAAUUCCAACAGUUGGUGGUAAUAUGCUUGCCUCCGCAAAAGGUAUAUUGUACAAUCAUUUGGGGUGGUGAAGGACAUUCUGUUACUAAAUUACCUUGCCCCUUACAAUUAAUGUACCAGACAUUGGGACGCAUAUUGAUUGGUUUAUGCUUUUUUUCUUUAUCCUUGGCCAGAUUCACAACCAAUUCAUCCAUUUUUUUUUGUCAAUGUUAACAGCAAUGACUCAUUGGGAUCCCUUGAUACCAAUGCAUUUGGUAAUUCCUUUGUAGGUAUUGGUUUUUGAUACAUGGAAUAAGGUGCAUAUGGGUGUGAUGAUGAUGGUGGUACAGCUUGCAUUGGAACGGCAUCCACUAUUCCCUGUGGAAUUGUACCAUAAUCAUUUCUUCCCAGAUAACUUCCCGAUGCAUCAUUCCAAUUUGUUAUUUGAUAACCUCCUUGAGAUGGAAUCAUCGUGGCUCCAACUGUUAAGUUAUGGUCAUAGUGACAUUCCUUCCAUACUUUUUUUCGCUCAAGAGAUGAUGCAAUGGUGGCUGAUUGGGCCUCUUUUACAAACAUUUUUAAUUCUGGUGGGUGUAGUCCAUUAACCAAUAUGGACAACACAAAUGAUUCUGGCAUUUGGUUAUUUGGCCAUUUUUGAAGUAUAUUUGCUAUACGACCAUAAUAUGAUUAUACUGCUUUCUCUGGUACCAUUGUGUUGUUCAUUAAUUUUUUUGUAAGACGUUCUUCAAAACCAAUUGGUCAAAAAUGGGCUAAAAAUGUAUUUUUCAAUGCCUCCCAAUUGAUAAAUUUUCCCACAGGUUGGCGGUUAUACCACUCAAAUACUGUAUCUUUCAAUGUCGUUGGCAGCCAUCUCAGCCAAAUAUCUUCUAUUCUUCCAUUAUUGGCUACACACUCCAUCAAGAAUUGAAACAAAUGUUGAUCUGGAUCUGCACCUGGUAAAUCCCGAAAAGAAGGUAAUGGCACGACGCUAGUCGUUUGAUUGCCCAUUGCACCCAUUUGAACUGCAAUCGGAACUGCUGGUCCUCUGGACAUCAUUAAAGAUGUUGGUGUUCCACUUAAUUUCUUAUUAAAAUAAAAAUUGUCUCCCGUAAAAGUCUUUUUCGGACUUCCAAGCCUUCCCGAUUGACUAUUAUUAUCUCCAAAUUAUUUUACUGGUUGAAUAUGAGGUGAAAACGAUAGGUUUUGAUAUACUCUGAAUUGGUCUUUAUUGGCAAGUGAUUUCUGCCGAUCUUCAGAACUAAUCUUGUUAGGAUUGGACGUAUUUUCAAUUGAGAAGAUACCCAGUGGAGUACCUAAUUUCUCUGUGCCUUCCUCGUUUUUCGUUAACGGCUUCAAGAGGUUUGCUGAACUAUUAGCAGCACUUUCCGUGAGUACUCUUGGUAAUUUCUUUAACGGUAUGUACUUUUGAAAUAUUAGAGAUCGAUCAUCUUCUGGGUACGAUCGAAUAUGCCGACAGGCAUGCAACCAUGGCUUAAUCCAACUUUGUCGAUGCUUCUUUUUUAAUUUGUGACCUCGCUCAUCACGCAACAAAUUUCUUGCUUGCGAUUGCUCUGUUCUUUCCUUUGAUUACUUUAUUCUCUUUGCUGUUAAAUUUUUAUUCUUAAUAACCAUACUCUUUCAUUAUUUCUAUUGAGUUUGCUUCCUAAUCUCCUUUACUGCUUCGACAGUUAAUUCCUAACACUCAAUAAUGUUGUUAAUCCCUGGCAGUGGCGCCAAAAUGUGAUUGUUCGUUUUACUUAUUUCGAAAGAAACCUCCCAGCAUAAACUUGUAUAGGAGGAUUCGAACAUGGGGAAUGACCAUGUAUAUGAGCUCUAAUUGUUAGGGUCAUGCAAUUAACUGCUACUGCUGAAUGCUUACCAUACCGAAGAACACUUAACUAUUCCUCCUACUGUCCACUCUCUCAUAUCAAUAUAAUAACAUCCACAAUAAUGAUUUCAGUACCCUGUGUAAUUCACGAAUACACAAGCAUAUCUCGAACCCUGGAACGAACAACUUCCAAUCCACAGAAUCUAAUCAAGACAAUUCCUUCGAUUACAAUUCCUCUCCACUAAACUUACAACCUUGCGAUAAAUAGUGACUGGAAACUUCUAUACGUCCUCAAUCUUUCACAACAAUUGAUAAACAGUGAUCUAUAAACAACUUUGUAAAUCAAACAUUAAUUCAUUAAAUUGAUUCUCUUCAUUAGAAUCAAUACUAACACAAAAGAAACAAAAAAACUAAGAAGAAGAGAUAGCACCAAGCUUAUCCCCGGCUGAAUACUAUCGCAGUCUGGCAUUUUCUUCCCCUCUUCCAUCCUCCUUAUACUACCUUGAGAUACCAACUCCUAUACUACAGAUGAUAACUACUUUUCCUCACUAUUCAUCCAUUCUACCUACUGAACCACCUUUUCAGCAGUUAUCUAUCCCUGUUUAUAUCAUACACUAGGUAUCUACAUUCUGAAAAUAACUACUUAUUCUACAACAAGCAAGUAUCACAGCAUUGUUGCAUAUGACCAAGAUCUAAGCCACUUACCAUGGAUUGGAGCUCUUUUAUGCUCUUGGCAUUCAAAUAACCAAGGCGUCGAUGUCAAAUAUCAAACUUGUCUUGAUCUUGAGAAAAUUCACCAAAUGUCGCCACUUCAACUCCAUUCAUCUUCUUACACUUGAUGAAGUAGAGGUUGCCAUCUCUAAAGCUCUUUGCAAUAUGAUCUCCUUUCAAUGUCUUCACAAAACACCCAUUCUUAUCAAAUUGUACUUUACAACCAUGUAAAACAAGUUUAUUCACCGAGAGGAGGUUUUUCUUCAUCUUUGGCACAUGUAAGACGUCUUUCAAUCUAAUCCUCUUGGUUUGGUCUUUCACAACAAUCUCUAUAACAAUGGAGCCCAUUCCAAUAGCUUGUACUAUGCCAUUGUCUCCCAUGAGGAUAUUUAUUAUUGAAAUCUCUUCAUAAGUGUCAAAUAAAUACUUGUAUGGAAUCAUGAGCUUGGUGGCAUCAGAAUCAAUGAUCCACUUGGACAUAGCAGCCAUAGAAGUACCUUCACUUGCCAUGAAUGCAUGAUCAUCACCUCCAUAUUCAUCACGAGCAUUGUUUGUACUUUCUCUAUCUCUUUUCUUAGCCUUGUAGCAAUUUCGAGCAAAGUGACCUGGUUUUCCACAAAUGAAGCAAGUUUUCACAUUACCACAUUGGUUAGGAUGACUUUUCUUGUUUUGCCUUGAAAACAGAGCCGAAUCCUCACUUUGGGGCUCAUUUUUUCUCCUCUUGGUCACUUCAUGGAGAAGUCUUGCCGUCACAUAAUCUAUUGUGAGUUCUUUUACUUUGAUGGAUUCCAAUACCACAAUGAGAUAGUUGUAGGACUCGGAAAGGCUCAUAAGCAAGGUCAUGACAAUAUCACUUUCUUUUAAAGGCUUGUCAAUAAUAGUAAGUUGAUUAGCAAGGGCUUUUAUCUUAUUGACAUGAGCCAUGAGGUCUUCACCUUCUUCCAUCUUAUAAGUGAAGAAUUUCCUCCUUGUGAAGAUGAUAUUAGAUAAGUUCUUACUCUCAUAUAUGUUGCAAAGAGUCUUCCAUGCUUUUGUUCGUCUUUUGCAAGAGAUGAUGUGAGAAAAGUUGGCUUCAUCCAAAUUAGUGGCAAUCAUACCAAAAGCCUUCUUUUCUCGUCUUGUGAAGUCCUUCCUCUCUUUAGCAUCAGUAUACGUGCUUGGAGGCUCUUCACUUUCAUCUACAAUGUCCCAAAGGUCCAAAGACGCCAACAAAAGCUCCAUUUUGACCUUCCAAUGGUAGAAAUUGUCACCUCUAAACUUCUCAAUCACUCUCAAACCUUCACCCUCACUUGAAUCCAUGUCUUAGAAGAGGUCUAUCAAAAAAUAUCAAAAAAAAGAGUCUCUAUGUGCUUAAAAUCACUAAAACAAUUUUGUACUAGCAAAAUCUCAGAAUGCCCUCUUGUGAACAAAUGAAUGUUUCUUCACUCCAAAUACUCCAAAAUCAACUCUUGAAGCUUCUUACAAGUAUGUGAACUCCAAUCAACCUCACCAUCAAGUUCUUCCACUCAUAAAACUCACUUUCUCACCACAAAAUCAAAGACACUAUGAAGGUCUUUAUAUAAGAUCUUAAUCACUCAAUCCUAAGAAUUAAGAACCUUCAAACUAAUGUAAGAGAUCUAUAAGGCCCAAAUCAAAACCUCCACAAGUCAAAACACCAGAUUAGAUCAUAAAAUCUCUAACAUCAACAAACACCAUAAGAUCUAUUCCACACAAGAACAACAACCAAUAAAUGACUUCAACUUACUUGAAUAGCACAACAAAGUGUGUGUGGGCCCAUAACCUAUUGAACAAACACAAUAAGCAAGACACAAGUAAGUAGAAAUCAGCAAGGUUAGACACAAGAGAAGUGUAGAAUGAGAUGCCUCUCACUUCCAGCACCUUUUACUUAUAGGUAGAGGUUACAUCCAUUUUGGCUAGUAUUCAUCUUACUUUUAUCCAACUAAAUCCUAAAAUCCUCUUAACCUAGCUGUCACUUUAAAUCCUAGCCGCCACCUAUAAUCCUAGCUGCCACCUAUAAUCCUAGUCGCCACUUAUGAUCCUAGCUGCCACCUUGGUAACUUUCCUUCAUCCUUUUGCUAUCUUUUGAUUAUUAGCAACUUACCUAAGAUAAUAUCUUUUACCUUCUAUUUUAUCCUCCAUUUACUUUAACAAUAUCUUCUUACACAAGUUUCACUCCAAUCCAACUAGUAGAUUGUAAGAAAUCUUAAAAACCCCCACUAGACCUAAAAUUCUACUUUCUGAGACCUUGACCCACUUAAACCUCAAUAUUCCUCGAUUCAACCGUUAGAUCGAGCUCAAAUUCAUGAUACAUAUUAAACACAACUAUAACCAUAAACCCACAAAAUUUCAUCCGUAGAUCUGCUACAAAGCUCUUGAAAUCAUCCAAAACAUAAAUCCUAUUUUAUUUCAUAAAAUCCAAGUCAUCCAAAACAAACCUUGACUUUGCAAAGCUCUUACAAAGUCAUAUCAACUCCAAAUCAUCCAAAAUCAAUGCCCAUAGAAAUCCUAUCCAAUCUUCUAUCAAACCUCUUUCUCUAAUCUGCCAAAGAGUCCCCGAGUCGUCGUCAAGACUCAGUUUUGUGCCUCAUGGUCUGAUUUCGACCCUGGUUCAUAACCGGCCCUCUCCGGGUAUCAACAUUUAGUUUUUUUAAGUAAUUUUUACUAGAAUUUAGUCUUAACUUCUUCCUAAAUAUGUCUAUAUCAUUUAUUUUUCUAAUCUAUCUUAUUUUGCCUUAUUUUUGGCCCUACAAAGUAAGUAGAAGCUAUUUUUUCUAAAAGAACAGCAUUACUACUAAAAUUUUUACUACCUUCCUAUCUUUUAUCCAUAUUUUUCUACCUUUUCUUUUAACUUCGCUCUUCUAUAAUAAGAUCCAUAUUAUCAUCUUUCACCAUAUAGUCAUGUUACAACACGACACCAUUAAGCACUUUCUUCAAUUCUUAAAUAUUCUUUUACCGUACUAUAUCUUUAUUAAUUUUCAUGGCCUUGUAAUGGUGCCUUAUCUAAUCGCUUACCACUUUUUUGACGUUUUAUCAUUGGAAUAUUUUAAUAGAUAUUAUAUGCUUCAAAUAUAAGAUUUUUUGACAAGUAAUAAUAUUAUAGUCAAAUAUGAUUUUUUGAGUAAGUAAUAAUAAAAGAUAUGAAAUAAGAACUCAAAUGCCUUCUGAUAUUGCAUGUUUUAUAUUCCACUAAUCAUAUAUCUUUCCUUCAAGUCAAAUAUAUUAGAAUUAAAAAAUCAAGGUAAUUUCUAGUAUUAUCAUGUCAUGAAUAUACAUAUAUAUUUUAAUAAAUAUCUAUAUGAUUAGAUAGAAGUAGGUAAAAAUAGAUAAAAAUAGAUUAAUUUUAUAAUAUCUUUCAGAAAAACUUCAUAGAAUCUUCAUAGAUGCUGCUUUAACUUUACAUGUAUUUGUAGUUGAUAUAUAGAUUAGAAACUUGGUGAAUAAGUUUACCACGUAUUGGUAGUUUGUAAAAGAAGCUAACUAUGUGGUGUACAUAUAGAAAACUUGCCUUGCAAGUUAAAAUAUAUAUCUUGCAAAGUCAACUUGUUUUAGAAGAUUUAUAGGAUAUUUCCAUGUAGCUCCUAGUUAAGAGUAUAUAUAAAGAUAACAGUAAAGCCUUCUUUACUCUUAUUAAUAUCUUUCUAGACUUUAGUCUUAUUUCAAGACUUUCUGAUCUUCUUGUUUUUGAUAAUAGCCAUUCUAGUUUGAUACUAUAUCAUCUUUGAGUGACUUUUUAGUUCUUUUCAGUGACAUAAGAGUGUAUUGAGGAUUUCUUUCUUUGAAAUUUAUAUCCUUGAUAAUUUGAAAAAAAUAUUAACUUACUAUUUUUAUCUUAUUUUAAAAAUUAGUAGAUUAUUUCACUUCUAUUUUUAUAUUUUAAAUGUUAUAAAUUACUUACUUUUAAACAAAAAAUCUUAUUUUUUAAAAUUUAUUUUUUUUAAAGCAAGUAGACUAUCUUUUUUAUGGAAAUUUUUAUUUAAUAUUAUAGAUUACAGAUUAUCUUCUUCUUAUUUAACUUUUUGAAUUUGUUUGAAUUUCUAUAAAAAAAAAAUUAUUGAUGCUAUUCUUGAAGGAAAUAAAUAUAGAUUUUGUAACUAUUGUAGAUCUUCAUGACCUUGUCAAUACUCUGAGUAGAAAUUUCACAUAUUUCCAACAUGAAUCAUAGAAAUAUUAUUCCUACUCCUAUAGAAGAAGUUCAAAGUCUACAUCAAGAAGUUGUAUAAUUGAAAGAAGUAAAUGGAUUGACCUCACAACUAAAUCCAUAGAAUUUUUCUUUUACAAGUAUGACUAAGACAAGAAUUAAUAUGCUUGAAAAGUUUGAUGGAAUAAGAUCAAAAUUUUGAAGAUUUCUAUAAUAAGUCAAGUUCUAUCUAAAGUUGUAUCUUUUUUAAUAUCCUUAUGGAUUUACUCAAGUCGGAUUCAUAGGCACACUUCUAUGAAGAAGUAUUCUCUCUUGAUUUGCACCUCAAUGAAAAAAUAUUUACAACUCUUUUAUAAUUUGAAUUCAUUCUUAGAAGUGUUUACAUCCACAUUUGGAGAAAAUGGUCAAAAAAGAAUAGCAAAGACAAAGCUCUUAUUAUUAUGGUAAAUAUCCUAGUCAUUCACCAUAUAUGCUAUUAAAUUCUUAAACUUGGCUUAUGUCAUGGACUAAAAUGACAAAGCCCUUAUCAAUCAAUUUUAAUAUGAAUUGAAGGAUAAUAUCAAAGAUUUAUUAUUGAUAAUAUCAAAGAUAAAAUCUUUGAAAUAAUUUAUUGCUCAAGCUAUUGCAUGCGAUAAUCAAUUAUUUGAAAGAUGUCAAGAAUAAAAAUUUGGUUGGAGAAGAAUAAGUCAAAUAUUGAUGGCAACUUUUAAGUUUUCAAAAACUUAUUUAUCAAGGCCAAAAUCAAUACAAAUUGAUAUAGUAUAUUUUAAAUCUCUCAUGGAGUAGAAAAAGACUUGACGACAUCAAGAGGGAUUUUGUUUAUAUUGUAGAAAAGCUAAACAUACUACUCAUCAUUGUCUAAAGAAACAAUGCAACUACAAAAUGAGAAGCAUGGUUGCCAAAAAAGACAAUGUGUUAAAAAAUGAGUUUUUUCAACUAUAAGAAGGACUAUGCAAUUGAAAUCUUGCAUAGCUCCUAAUAAAGGUCUUAUUCUUUCUUCAAACCUCUCACCUUCUUUUAUAAUAGAAGUUUAUUUAGGAAAAAAAAUCACAAAGUCUUAAUUUUGUUAGAUUUAAGAACCUUAGUCUAUUUCAUAGACAUAGAUUUUGUCAAAAAAUAAGAGAUAUUAUUAGUCAAAAAAACUAAAAUUGUUCUUUUAGAUAUAUUAAUUAAAAAUCACAAUAGCAUGGUUAUAUUUAAUAUAAUAAGAUCUCCAUCUAAUUUGGUUAUUUUAGGAUUAUUCAAGUUAAAAAAGUAUAAUUUACAGAUAGAUUGGAUUUUUUAUAAUCUUAAUUUUUGUCAUAGUUUAGUCCAAAAUCUUGUUAGUCAAGAAAAAAAUAUAUAAAUCUAAUACAUCCAAAUCCUUACUAGUAGGUAUAAGAACUUUCAUGCAUACCACAAAAGAAGAGUCACCUUUUGCUAUAUAUGCCACAUCUAUUUUUGAUGGUAAAAGAUGUCAAGUAAUAUUCUUAGCUAGUAUGAAGAUUUUCAAGAUAUUUUUAAAAUAAAAAUAUAAAUAUUCUUCUAAAACAUUGUCUUUGUGAUCGUUCCAUUGAUCUUCAUGAAAGAGCUCAACCACCAUUUGGACCAAUCUAUAACCUAUUACCAAAUGAAUUCGCUACACUUAAGGAAUUCAUUGAUAAGAAUUUGGCUAAAAAUUUCAUAUGCCAUUUUAAAUCUGCAGCGAAGGCUCCUAUCUUAUUUGUGAAGAAAAAAAAUGGUUGUUUGCAAAUGUAUAUAGACUAUGAAGAAUCUAAUAAGAUUACUAUUAAAAAUAGGUAUCCUCUACCUUUGAUUUUAAGACUUCUUGAUCAACUCAAUCAAUCAAAGAUCUAUACAAAAAUAAAUCUAAAAAAAAUAUAUAAUCUAGUAUGUACAUUAAAGAAGAAGAUGAAUAGAAAAUUGUGUUUUGAACUAGAUAUGAGAAUUUUGAAUGUAAUAUCAUGCCUUUUGGACUCAUGAAUGUACCAAUUACUUUUCAACAUUUAAUGAAUGAUGUCUUUUUUAAGUUUCUUAUUGAUUUUGUUGUCUAUUAUUUGAACAACACCUUAAUCUACUCUACAAACACAAAAGAGCAUUAAAUUCAUAUUUGUUGUGUGUUAUAAAAAUUUAAAGAUAUAAGAUUAUAUGCCAAGUUAAAAUAUAUAUAUAAAUAUAUAUAUAUAUAUAUAUAUAUAUAUAUAUAUAUAUAUAUAUUCUACAUUACUCAAGUUCACUUCCUAAGAUACAUGAUUUCCAACAAAAAACUAAUGAUGGAUCCAAAAAAGAUCCAAACAAUCAUCGAUUGAAGGAUUCCUAAAAUAAUAAGAUAUGUAUAAUGCUUUUUGAGCUUUGCCAAUUACUAUCAGAUCUUCAUCAAGAUUUUUUCUUAAGUUGCAGCUCCACUUACACGUUUGACUUAUAAAGACAAAUUUGAGUCAAAUAAAGAAGAUAAACAAUUAUUUGAUGCUUUAAAAAAAGAGUUUAUUUCUACACCAAUCUUAUAUUGUGUUGAAUUUUUUAAGGCAUUUUUUAUGGAAAUAUAUGCAUCAGACUUUGCCUUGGAUGUAAUAUUGUCAUAAAUAGGAGCAGAUGACAAACUCCAUCUAUUAGCUUUCUAUUCCAAAAGUUUUCAGUAAUUAAGAUUAAUUAUGAGCUCCACGACAAAGAAUUCUAUGCAAUUGUAGAUUCAUUUCAAGAAUGACAUCAUUAUAUAAAAGGUGCCUUGAGUCCAGUCAUUAUGUAUACAGAUCACAAGAACUUUGAGUGCUAUAUAUUAGCACAUAUUUUGAAUUAUUACCAAGCUUGUUGGAGCAUGUCUUUAUGAAGAUUUGAUUUCAAGAUUAAUUAUCGAUUCAAAAAUUAGUAAGGUUUAUUGAACAGUCUUUUUAAAUAUUCUUAUCUUACACUAAAAGAAGGAAAUACAUCUUUUGAUCAAAAAAAAAAAAAAAAAAAAAAAAAAAAAAAUUGAAGUCAAAGCAUUUUUACCUUUGAACAAUAAAAUUAAUAUUAAUUAUUGAUUCAACAUUUGUUAAGCAAAUUCAAUUAAGUAUAUCUUCUAAUUCUCUUCUUGAUGAUAUUAAGAAUAAUUCUUCUAAGUUUUACAAUACUUCUAAUUUCAAGUUUAAAAAUAAUCUAUUCUACUUUAAGGGACAAUUAUACAUUCCAAAAGGCAAAGUAUAAUUACGUUGUCGUAUUACGUGAAGUUUGGCUAGAAAAUGCACCAAAUACCAGAUUAUGGAAGAUAAAAAGAAAAUUGCAACAACAAGUCCUAACAACUCUAAUAGAUUCUUAAACAAAUUAUAAUUAAAUAUUAACAAAUAUAAUCAAACAUCAAUGAAAUUUAAUUAAAAUUUCAAAAGAUUUAUACAAAAAAUACAAAAAAUUCCUAAAGAUCCUUUAAAAAAAUCAUAAAAAAUAACAUAGAAAUUCAAUAUAUAUAUAUAUAUAUAUAUAUAUAUAUAUAUAUAUAUUAAAAUAGAAAUCUGAAUAAAACAUUAAAAUAAAAAUCUUAAUUAAACCUUAAUCAAAAUUGAGUCAAAUCUUAGUCAAAUUUUAGUCAAACCUUAAUCAAAUAUUAGUCAAAACCUAGUCAAAUCUUAGUCAAAUCUUAGUCAAAUCUUAGUCAAAUCUUUAUCAAAACCUAGUCAAACUUUGAUCAAAUCUUAGUCAAAUCUUAGUCAAAUCUCAAUCAAAUCUUAAAUAAGUCCUAACCAAACUCAAUACAAAUCCUAGUCAAAUCCUAAUUGAAUCUUGAUCAAAUCCUAAACAAAUCUCAAGCAAAUUCUAAUCAAAUCCUAAAUAAAUCUUAGUCAAAUCUUAAAUAAAUCCUAAUCAAAUCCUAAAUGAAUCCUAAAUAAAUCCUACUCAAAUCUUAAAUAAAUCCUAAAUAAUCUCUAAUCUAAAUCAAUUCCUAAUCCUAACCAAACCUUAAAUUAAUCCAAAAUCCUAACCCUAAUCCUAAACCAAAUCCUAAACCAAAUCCUAAUCAAUGCCAAGUAAUUCAUAUAGCAGAUUUAAACCUCAAUAAUUGAUAAAUAAACUAUUGAUUUUAAUUCAAAUUUUGUACACUUCUUAAUAAUUAAGUUG
RNAcentral lists this long non-coding RNA (22219 nucleotides) under Physcomitrium patens. Its description in RNAcentral is "long non-coding RNA (PPAT_LNC012298)". The record is from RNAcentral. Lineage: Eukaryota; Viridiplantae; Streptophyta; Bryopsida; Funariales; Funariaceae.